UCUUAUCAUUCGUUGCCCCGCUCCAAUAUGGAAACCAUAAAUUUCAAUCAUCCGCAGAGUGCAGAUUCUCCUGUUCUCUAGAAACGCCGAACUUUGUUCGUUAUGCCAACCUAAAGACUGGACACGCAGGCAGAAUUUAGUCGGUGAAUCGUUUUGACUUAAACUAUAAUUCAGGCCAUACAGCGGAGAAUGGAAAAGGCCGAAUUUUGACUCUGUUCUCGCACUAUUAUUACGUUGACCGGGAUAUACGAGUUCACUGAUGACGUGGAUCAUGGGAAAAAGUGGUGCUGUCUCAAACUUUCGUGCAGGAAGCGUAACAGGGCAACAAAUUUUGCCGGAAGUAAGGCGCAUGGGUGGAUACAAAUUUGAUGACAAUCUCAACAGGCAGAUUCUCCAGUAUAAUCAAACAGAUUACCGUCAAUGAGUUAAAACUUCCGCUCGUGAAACGCUUCCGUACGGAACCAGGAUCCUUCAGGUAUAUGAAUAACCGCUGUCUGGGCCACUUACUGGUUUUUCGGGUAUGCGGAAUGUUUUAAUUUUUUUGUAAUUCCAUCUUGGAGAGCGGAACCGACCAGGCUACGCCAUGCAUUGCCUCCACACAACAGCAUUGAGGAUAUCUUUUUUAGUAUUAAUACUGUAUGGACUUGCUCAUCCAGUUGUUGCGGAGGAUUCUCGACUCUGGAGCCGGCUAUCGCAUCGGCAAAGAUGGAUUGUGGCCAAAAGGGCACCGCCAACAGCCGGCGCAAAGAAAGUCUGUGGGAAGCAACUCCGAAGCCUGUUUUCUCUGAUAUGCCAAAACCGUUAUCAAACCAAACAUGCAGCCAGUAUAGAAAUGGCUCGUCGGGCGCAGCUACCGGCCGUGAUGAAAAGAAAUCCGGAAUAUGCAACAGAUGACCAUAUUCUGCCGCACGACGAAGAUCCCGCUUUGGAUCCCGAUUCAGUAUUUCUGGAUGAACAGACCGCGUCUAUAUUUUUGCACCGACGAGCUGAUGAAAAGGGUGCUUAUUCCGAGUGCUGCUUGAAAGCGUGCACAAUCUCUGAAAUUGUUGGGUAUUGUCAUCCUGAUAUACAGAAAGGCGUCUACGGAAUAGCCAAUCCAAAGAUUCAGUGAUCUCAUUUUUUUGCACAUUGUUACCUGUUGAAGUUCGCAAUCUUGCUCUUUUCAAAUCUCGCAUACGUGUAAUGCUGAUUACGUAAAAUAUAAAAUCGCAUGCGGUGCAGUGUUAUUUUCCGUCCACGAUUCAGUGAGUAAAUUUUAACUAUACGGUCAAGACUAGCAAAAAAUUUG
Molecule: RNA transcript, 1288 nt
Organism: Paramacrobiotus metropolitanus
Lineage: Eukaryota; Metazoa; Tardigrada; Eutardigrada; Parachela; Macrobiotidae
Exons: 4
Source: RefSeq, a predicted model, not a curated record